This 506-nucleotide ribosomal RNA is filed under the name uncultured bacterium. Its description in RNAcentral is "partial 16S ribosomal RNA". It matches the Rfam family "Bacterial small subunit ribosomal RNA", at positions 29 to 523 of the family's 1533-position model. The record is from RNAcentral.
AGUGAACGCUGGCGGUAGGCCUAACACAUGCACGUCGAACGGCAGCACAGGAGAGCUUGCUCUCUGGGUGGCGAGUGGCGGACGGGUGAGGAAUACAGCGGAAUCUACUAUUUCGUGGGGGAUAACGUAGGGAAACUUACGCUAAUACCGCAUACGACCUAGGGGUGAAAGCAGGGGACCUUCGGGCCUUGCGCGAUUGAAUGAGCCGAUGUCGGAUUAGCUAGUUGGCGGGGUAAAGGCCCACCAAGGCGACGAUCCGUAGCUGGUCUGAGAGGAUGAUCAGCCACACUGGAACUGAGACACGGUCCAGACUCCUACGGGAGGCAGCAGUGGGGAAUAUUGGACAAUGGGCGCAAGCCUGAUCCAGCCAUACCGCGUGGGUGAAGAAGGCCUUCUGGUUGUAAAGCCCUUUUGUUGGGAAAGAAAUCCAGCUGGCUAAUACCCGGUUGGGAUGACGGUACCCAAAGAAUAAGCACCGGCUAACUUCGUGCCAGCCGCCGCAGUAA